RNAcentral lists this ribosomal RNA (440 nucleotides) under uncultured bacterium. Its description in RNAcentral is "partial 16S ribosomal RNA". It matches the Rfam family "Bacterial small subunit ribosomal RNA", at positions 339 to 795 of the family's 1533-position model. The record is from RNAcentral.
CUACGGGGCGCUGCAGUAGGGAAUAUUGCACAAUGGGCGAAAGCCUGAUGCAGCAACGUCGCGUGUGCGAUGAAGGCCUUCGGGUCGUAAAGCACUUUUCGGGAGGAUGAGAAAGGACAGUACUCCCGGAAUAAGUCUCGGCUAACUACGUGCCAGCAGCCGCGGUAACACGUAGGAGGCAAGCGUUAUCCGGAUUUACUGGGCGUAAAGCGCGUGCAGGUGGUUUGGUAAGUUGGAUGUGAAAUCUCCCGGCUCAACUGGGUGAGGUCGUUCAAAACUGCUGGACUAGAGGACGGUAGAGGAAAGUGGAAUUCCCGGUGUAGUGGCGAAAUGCGUAGAUAUCGGGAGGAACACCAGUGGCGAAAGCGACUUUCUGGCCCGUUCCUGACACUAAGACGCGAAAGCUAGGGUAGCAAACGGGAUUAGAUACCCUAGUAGUC